This 445-nucleotide ribosomal RNA is filed under the name uncultured bacterium. Its description in RNAcentral is "partial 16S ribosomal RNA". It matches the Rfam family "Bacterial small subunit ribosomal RNA", at positions 354 to 796 of the family's 1533-position model. The record is from RNAcentral.
GUGAGGAAUAUUGGUCAAUGGACGAGAGUCUGAACCAGCCAAGUCGCGUGAAGGAAGACGGUUCUAUGAAUUGUAAACUUCUUUUGUGCAGGAAUAAAGUGGGUUACGUGUAACCUUUUGUAUGUACUGUACGAAUAAGGAUCGGCUAACUCCGUGCCAGCAGCCGCGGUAAUACGGAGGAUCCGAGCGUUAUCCGGAUUUAUUGGGUUUAAAGGGUGCGUAGGUGGAUUGCUAAGUCAGCGGUGAAAGUUUGCAGGUUAACUGUAAAAUUGCCGUUGAAACUGGCGGUCUUGAGUGCAAAUGAGGUAGGCGGAAUGUGUUGUGUAGCGGUGAAAUGCUUAGAUAUAACACAGAACACCGAUUGCGUAGGCAGCUUACUGGAGCGCAACUGACGCUGAGGCACGAAAGCGUGGGGAUCGAACAGGAUUAGAAACCCCGGUAGUCC